CGGACGGGUGAGUAAUGUCUGGGAAACUGCCUGAUGGAGGGGGAUAACUACUGGAAACGGUAGCUAAUACCGCAUAACGUCGCAAGACCAAAGAGGGGGACCUUAGGGCCUCUUGCCAUCGGAUGUGCCCAGAUGGGAUUAGCUAGUAGGUGGGGUAAAGGCUCACCUAGGCGACGAUCCCUAGCUGGUCUGAGAGGAUGACCAGCCACACUGGAACUGAGGCACGGUCCAG
RNAcentral lists this ribosomal RNA (232 nucleotides) under uncultured bacterium. RNAcentral describes it as "partial 16S ribosomal RNA". It matches the Rfam family "Bacterial small subunit ribosomal RNA", at positions 99 to 334 of the family's 1533-position model. The record is from RNAcentral.